GAAAUGCGAUAAGUAGUGUGAAUUGCAGAAUUCAGUGAAUCAUCGAAUCUUUGAACGCACAUUGCGCCCUUUGGUAUUCCUUAGGGCAUGCCUGUUCGAGCGUCAUCUAAACCUUCAAGCCCUGCUUGGUGUUGGGUGCCUGUCCCGCCUCCGCGCGCGGACUCACCUCAAAUCCAUUGGCGGCCCCCGCGUCGGCCACGAGCGCAGCAGAAACGCGAACUCGUCAGCCCGUCCGGGCGGCUCCCAGAAGCUACACCCACCCAGUUUGACCUCGGAUCAGGUAGGGAUACCCGCUGAACUUAAGC
This 305-nucleotide unclassified non-coding RNA is filed under the name plant metagenome. RNAcentral's name for it is "partial contains 5.8S ribosomal RNA, internal transcribed spacer 2, and large subunit ribosomal RNA". The stretch from base 1 to 105 matches the Rfam family "5.8S ribosomal RNA", at positions 50 to 154 of the family's 154-position model. The record is from RNAcentral.